RNAcentral lists this microRNA precursor (75 nucleotides) under Myotis davidii. RNAcentral describes it as "mir-9193 microRNA precursor family". It matches the Rfam family "mir-9193 microRNA precursor family". The record is from Rfam by way of RNAcentral. Lineage: Eukaryota; Metazoa; Chordata; Mammalia; Chiroptera; Vespertilionidae.
CGUGCACCAGUGGGGUCCCUCGGCCCCAGAUUGCUAAAGGGAGCAGGCCAGGCCAAGGGACCCCACAGGUGCACA